Molecule: long non-coding RNA, 4383 nt
Filed under: Homo sapiens (human)
Lineage: Eukaryota; Metazoa; Chordata; Mammalia; Primates; Hominidae
Description: non-protein coding lnc-RWDD4-2:10
Source: RNAcentral
GCGUCUGAAUGGGACCCGGGAGGGGAGGCGGCUCGGUCCUUCGUGCCGUCCUCCCCGCUGGGAGGGGCAGCUCCAGCUCCGCUCGGCUCGCUCCGCCCGGCCACACCGGCUUUUUCCCCAUCAGGCGGUCCGAGUGCGGCUCCUCGCGAGCCUGCAAAGGAGCAGCAGGCGGUUCCUUUUCGGACGACCUGGAGCGAGGCCUGCGGGACUGCGCGCCCCGGCGGGCGGCGUGCGGCUCCCGGCAUGCGCGGCGGCUGCGUUCCCGCCGCCUCCGAGCUCGCCUGGGGCUGCCGCCCGCCUCCUGCCGGGCCCUCGGGCUCGCCCGGCACCGCGGGGCUUGAUCAGGGAGAAAUGAUAUCUUCAGGGAAAAGACUUCGAAAAAGUGCCUGAAGUGACACAACACAUGUUUUCUUCUGGUAUCUGGCUAAAGGUCUUACUCCUUCUCCCAGGCCAGAGUGCAGUGGUGUCAUCAUGGUUCACUGUAGCCUCCAUCUCUUGGGCUCAGGCAAUCCUCCCUCCUCAGUCUCCUGAGUAGUUGGGACCACAGGAAAUGAUCAGAGGCUCACCUGAACUAUUAUCCAUCCAAAAGUGGGAUUCAAAGAAGGAAGAGGGCCUAGAAAUGAGAAAGAAGCGAAAAAUAUGUUUGUUGAAAGGUCAACAUGGGUGUUUGGAAGAGCACAAAUACUGGAUCCUGGGAUGAAUUUGGACUAAGCACCUGCAGAUUUCCUUUUCAAUUGAAAUGAGAAUUUCUGUCUGUGUUCUUCAUGCUUGUUAUACUGGAAAAAGUUUGCUUACCUGGAGUGCAAUGGCAGGCUGGAGUGCAAUGGCACCGUCUCAGCUCACUGCAACCUCCACCUCCCAGAUUCAAGCAAUUCUCCUGCCUCAGCCUCCCAAAUAGCUGGGAUUAUAGGCAUCCACCACCAUGCCUGGGUAAUUUUUGUAUUUUAGUAGAGACGGGGUUUCACCAUGUUGACCAGGCUGGUUUUCUCUCAUUUAAUUAUAUUGCUUUGUAGCAGGAUGGGCUGCAGGCAAAACUCCUCAGACACCGGCUGAAAGAGGGAAGAGGCUUUAUUUAGCUGGGAACCUUGGCAGACUUGCAUCUCAAGAACCAAGCUCCCUGAAGAAAAAAUUCCUGGCCUUUUUGAGAGGUGAAGCGAGCUGGACUUCCUGGGUUGAGUGGGGACUUGCAGAACUUUUCUGUCUAGCUAGAGGAUUGCAAACGCACCAGUCAGCACUCUGUGUCUAGCUAAAGGAUUGUAAACACACCAAUCAGCACUGUGUAAAAAUGCACCAGUCAGCGCUCUGUGUCUAGCUAAAGGACUGUAGACGCACCAAUCAGCACUCUGUAAAAAUGCACCAAUCAGCACUCUGUGUCUAGCUAAAGGAUUGUAAACGCACCAAUCAGCACUCUAUAAAAGCGCACCAAUCAGCGCACUGUGUCUAGCUAAAGGAUUGUAAACGCACCAAUCAGCAUUCUGUGUCUAGCUAAAGGAUUGUAAACGCACCAAUCAGCACUCUGUAAAAAUGCACCAAUCAGCACUUGGCAUCUAGCUAAAGGAUUGUAAGUGCACCAAUCAACACUCCGCAAAAACACACCAAUCAUCACUCUGUGUCUAACUAAGGGAUUAAAUGCACCAAUCAGAACUCUGUAAAAAUGCACCAGUCAGCACUCUGUAAAAUGGACCAAUCAGCACUCUGUAAAAUGGACCAAUCAGCAGGACAUGGGUGGGGACAAAUAAGGGAAUAAAAGCUGGCCACCCCCCAGCCAGCAGCGGCAACCUGCUCAGGUCCCUUUCCACUCUGUGGAAGCUUUGUUCUUUCGCUUUUCACAGUAAAUCUUGCUGCUGCUGACUCUUUGGGUCCACACCACCUUUAAAAGUUGUAACACUCGCUGUGAAGGUCCGCAGCUUCAUUCUCGAAGUCAGUGAGACCAAGAAUCCACCAGAGGGAACCAAGUCUGGACACACUUUUAAGGGCUUACAACUCUAUGGGGGUCUACGUGAAAGAUAUCCAGCAAGUGAUCUAUAGGUAAUACACGUAGUUAGAGUGGGGGGUUAAUCUUUAACCUCAGGCCUGGUCAGUGGCACCGGUUGGUCUUGCCACUGACUUCAUUUCUGUUGUUUUUCAGCUUUUACUUCCUCCUUCUCUUCAGGGACAGGAAACAGUAAGAGAAAUGGCGUAUCUCCUCAGCUUAAGAUAGUACUUGCCAGGCAGGGUGGCUCACACCUGUAAUCCCAGCACUUUGGGAGGCUGAGGUGGGUGGAUCAUGAGGACAGGAGUUCAAGACCAUCCCGACCAACAUGGUGAAAACCCCAUCUCUACUAAAAAUACAAACAUUAGGUGGGCGUGGUGGCACGCGCAUGUAAUCCCAGCUACUCAGGAGGCUGAGGCAGGAGAAUUGCUUGAACCUGGGAGGCGAAGGUUGUAGUGAGCCGAGAUCGCGGCAUUGCACUCCAGCCUGGGCAACAGAACAAGACUCCAUCCCCCCACCAAAAAAAAAGUGCUUAUCUUGUCCAUAACUUAGCAGGAGUGUUUCAAUAUUACAUCCACGCUGUUUCCAUAUUAAACAGAUUCUUUGUGGUUGAGAUAAAUAUAUUUCAUUAUGCUAACAACGUAUUUGUAUACUCCUGUUAAGAACUUACAUCAAGUAUGAAUAUGGAAUUUUUCCAAUGUCUUUGAUAGCUUUUUUAGACAUGAGUAGUUAUGUGCUGCAUGACGAUGUUUUGGUAACAAUGGACCAUGUAUACCGUGGUGGUCCCAUAAGAUUAUAAUGGAGCUGAAAAACUCCUAUCACCUAGUGCUAUCAUAGCCAUCAUAACACAAUGCAUUACUCACGUGUUUGUGAAGAUGUUGGUGUAAAGAAACCUACAGAACUGCCGGUCAUCUAAAAGUAUAGCACAUACAAUCAUGCACAGCACAUAAUGAAAGGCUUGAUAAUAAAGGGAUAUGUUAUUGGCUUAUGUAUUUACUAUCCUAUAUUUUUCAUUGUUAUUUUUGAGUGUACUCCUGCUUUGCGGUGUCUCACGCCUGUAAUUCUAUCACUUGGGGAGGCCAAAGCCGGCGGAUCACUUGAGGUCAGAAGUUUGAGCCUGACCUGGCCAACAUGGUGAAACUCCGUCUCUAUUUAAAAUACAAAAAUUAGCCAGGUAUAGUGGCGAAUGCCUGUAGUCCCAGCUACUUGGGAGGCUGUGGCAGGAGAAUCGCUUGAACCCAGGAGGUGGAGGUUGCAGUGAGCUGAGAUCACACCAUUGCACUCCAGCCUGGGCAACAGAGCAAGACUGCAUCACAAAAAAAAGGAAAGAAAGCUGUAGAAUAGCCUCAGGCAGGACCUUUAGGAGUUAUUCCAGAAGAAGGCAUGUUAUUACAGGAGAUGACAAGCUGUAGGAGUGGAAGGCAGUGAUACCGAUCAUCCUGGCCCUGUGUAGGCCUAGGCUAAUGUGUGUGUUUGUCUUAGUUUUUAGCAAAAAAUGUUUUAAAAGUAAAAACAUAAAAAAUAAAAAUUUUAAAAAACAUGAAAAAGCUUAUAAAUAUGUUUGCACAGCUAUGCAAUGUUUUCAUGUUUUAAGCUUUUAUUACAAAAAAGUUUAAAAAAUUAAACUCGAUAAAGUAAGUUACAGUAGCCAAAGGUUAAUUUAUUAUUGAAGAAAGAAAAAUUAUUGUUUAUACAUUUAGCAUAGCCUGCGUGUACAGUGUUUAUAAAGUCUAUACCCAUGCCCAGUAAUGUCCUGGGCCCUCACACUCACUCCCCACUCACUCGCUCACUCACCCAGAGCCACUUCCAGUCCUGCAAGCUCCAUCCAUGGUGAGUGCUCUGUGAAGGCGUUCGUUCUUUAUCUUUUGUACCAUAUUUUUACUGUACCUUUUCUAUGUUUAGCUAUAUUUAGAUAUACAAAUACUUAGCAUUGUAUUACAGUUGCUUACAGUAUUGAGCACAGUCACAUGUUGCACAGGUUUGUAGUCUAGGAGCAGUAGGCCAUACCUAUAGGCCAGACCAUAGAUCCUAGGUGUGUAGAAGGCUCUACCAUCUAGGUUUGCGUAGGUACAUGCUAUGAUGUUUGCACAAUGACAAAAUUGCCUGACACAUUUCUCAGAGCAUAUCUCCAUCAUUAAGUGAUACAUAUCUGUAUAGAAUUUUUCUUCUUAUACCUAUUAAUAAUAACAAUAUAUUUCUGUAGAAAUAUACUUGGUUCAUUAACUAAACACUGGAAAUGUUACCUCUUUUUAUAUGCUCUGAAAAAAUUAAAAUAAGAUAUGGGAGUUGUCUUUUCUUUAAAGGUUUUACAGAAUUCCUCUGGAACUGCUGGAAUUUGAGGGGUCUUUUUUUUGACAAUUUCCUAUUUAUUUUAUGGUAAUUGAUCUGUUUAAAUUUUUUUCUCUUCUAAA